GACGUAGGGCGCGAGCGUUGUCCGGAUUUAUUGGGCGUAAAGAGCUCGUAGGCGGCUUGUCGCGUCGAAUGUGAAAUCUCAGGGCUCAACUCUGACAUUGCAUUCGAUACGGGCAGGCUCGAGUUCGGUAGGGGAGACUGGAAUUCCUGGUGUAGCGGUGGAAUGCGCAGAUAUCAGGAGGAACACCGAUAGCGAAGGCAGCUCGCUGGGACGGUACUGACGCUGAGGUGCGAAAGCGUGGGGAGCGAACAGG
RNAcentral lists this ribosomal RNA (253 nucleotides) under uncultured bacterium. RNAcentral's name for it is "partial 16S ribosomal RNA". It matches the Rfam family "Bacterial small subunit ribosomal RNA", at positions 524 to 776 of the family's 1533-position model. The record is from RNAcentral.